CAGUCGCCGCGGGAACACAGAGGGUGCAAGCGUUAAUUGGAAUUACUGGGCGUAAAGCGCGCGUAGGUGGUUUGUUAAGUUGGAUGUGAAAGCCCCGGGCUCAACCUGGGAACUGCAUCCAAAACUGGCAAGCUAGAGUACGGUAGAGGGUGGUGGAAUUUCCUGUGUAGCGGUGAAAUGCGUAGAUAUAGGAAGGAACACCAGUGGCGAAGGCGACCACCUGGACUGAUACUGACACUGAGGUGCGAAAGCGUGGGGAGCAAACAGGAUUAGAUACCCGCGUAGUCCCUGUCUCUUAUAC
Molecule: ribosomal RNA, 301 nt
Filed under: uncultured bacterium
Lineage: Bacteria
Description: partial 16S ribosomal RNA
Rfam family: Bacterial small subunit ribosomal RNA
Source: RNAcentral